UGUGUUUCCUGAGCAUUUCCUAGCUCUCAGCACAGUGCUCUCUACACAGUAAGUGCUCAGUAAAUAUCACUACUUGAUUGAAGAGCAGCCUGGCUUAGUGGGUAGAGCACGAACCUGGGUGUCAGAAGGACCUGGUUCUAAUCCCAGCUCCACCACGUGUCUGCUGUGUGACCUUGAGCAAGUCACAUAACUUCUCUGGGUCUCACUUACCUUAUCUGUAAAAUGGGGAUUAAGAGUAUGAGGUUCAUGUGGGACAGGGACUCUGUCCGAUCUGAUUAACUUCUAUCUACCCCAGGGCUUAGAACAUUGCUUGGCACAUAGUGUUUAACAAGUAACAUUAUUAUUAUUAUUUUUGAUAGAGGCCCUCCAGCGGUGAACAAGGAGUCCCUGGAAAGGAGAUAGAGAGCCCCCCAACUAUGGCAUUCAGGAGGAAGAGGAGAGAGAGAAGGCAGGAGCUUCCUGGAAAGCUUGGAUUUGAGCACAGACCUGGAUCCAGACUCUUCCUCCUCCAAGACAGCUCCAGGAGAAGAAGGAGGAAGAAGGGAAGGAGAAGCGGCAGAAGGAGGGAAUGAAGGAGGAGGAAAAGUUGGGGGGGGAGAAGCUGAAGAAGCGGAGAAGUCAGAAAAGGAGGAGCACCAGCAGAGGAGGGUAUGGAGGAAGAGGAAGAGAUGAAGGAGAGGAAGAAUGGGAGUAGGAAGAGCAGAAGGAGGGAAUGAAGGAGAAGAAGGAAGAGAUGAGGAAGAAAUGAUGGAAAAGUAGAGGAAGAGCAGCAGAAGGAGGGAAUGAAGGAGAAGCAGCCCGUCCCUGCCCCAGUUGGGGCUCACAGUCUGGGGGAGAGGGAGAACAGGUAUCGAAUCUCUAUUUUACAGAGGAAGAAAUCGAGGCACAGAGAAGUCAAGUGACUUGCUCAAGGUCACAAAGCAGGCUAAUGGCAGAGCGGGGAUUAGAACUCCUGCCUCCUAGUUCUGUCCUCUUUCUGCCAGGCCAUGCCCCUACUACUUUCAAGCCUUCUAUCUCUCUCUCUGC
This 1026-nucleotide long non-coding RNA is filed under the name Ornithorhynchus anatinus (platypus). RNAcentral's name for it is "lncRNA (ENSOANG00000036356.1)". The record is from RNAcentral. Lineage: Eukaryota; Metazoa; Chordata; Mammalia; Monotremata; Ornithorhynchidae.